This 464-nucleotide ribosomal RNA is filed under the name Luria pulchra. RNAcentral describes it as "partial 16S large subunit ribosomal RNA". It matches the Rfam family "Bacterial large subunit ribosomal RNA", at positions 1850 to 2577 of the family's 2925-position model. Lineage: Eukaryota; Metazoa; Mollusca; Gastropoda; Littorinimorpha; Cypraeidae. The record is from RNAcentral.
GAGUCGGACCUGCCCAGUGAAUAAUUUUUAACGGCCGCGGUACUCUGACCGUGCAAAGGUAGCAUAAUCAUUUGCCCUAUAAUUGAGGGCUAGUAUGAAUGGUUUGACGUGAACAAAACUGUCUCUACAUAAUUUUUUAGAACUUGAUUUCUAGGUGAAGAAACCUAGAUAUUAUUGAUAGACAAGAAGACCCUAUUGAGCUUUAAAAAAAUAGACUGAAGACAACUUAUAUAUUAUAAAUAUUAAUCCGUUUAAGAUUUUGGUUGGGGCGACUAUGGAACAAACAAAGCUUCUUUACAAUCACAAAACCUGCAAGUUUUGAUCCAAGCAUUUUGAUCAAUGGAAUUAGUUACCAUAGGGAUAACAGCAUAAUUCUCUUUGAGAGUUCUCAUCGAAAAGAGAGUUUGUGACCUCGAUGUUGGACUAGAAUAUCCUAAAGAUGCAGCAGUCUUUAAGGGUUGGUC